This is a non-coding RNA of Meloidogyne enterolobii, 65 nucleotides long. NCBI's taxonomy places the organism in Eukaryota, Metazoa, Nematoda, Chromadorea, Rhabditida, Meloidogynidae. The record is from the annotation of a GenBank genome assembly.
GGCAGUUUGGUAUAGUGGUAUUUGUGAUUUUGAUAGGUCGCAGGUUCGAACCCGGCCAGCGGCCU